ACUUUAAGUUGGAAGCUUGCUUUUGACUUAAGUAGUGGCGGACGGGUGAGUAACGCGUGAGCAACCUGCCUGUGUGAAGUGGAAUAACAGCCGGAAACGACUGCUAAUACCGCAUAACGUAUACUGAUCGCAUGUUUGGUAUACCAAAGGAUUUUAUCGGUACGAGAUGGACCCGCGUCUGAUUAGCUAGUUGGUGAGGUAACGGCCCACCAAGGCGACGAUCAGUAGCCGACCUGAGAGGGUGAUCGGCCACAUUGGGACUGAGACACGGCCCAAAACUCCUACGGGAGGCAGCAGUGGGGAAUAUUGCACAAUGGGGGAAACCCUGAUGCAGCAACGCCGCGUGAGUGAUGAAGUAUUUCGGUAUGUAAAGCUCUAUCAGCAGGGAAGAAAUUGACAGUACCUGACUAAGAAGCCCCGGCUAACUACGUG
Molecule: ribosomal RNA, 432 nt
Filed under: uncultured bacterium
Lineage: Bacteria
Description: bacterial SSU rRNA
Rfam family: Bacterial small subunit ribosomal RNA
Source: RNAcentral